RNAcentral lists this ribosomal RNA (1356 nucleotides) under uncultured bacterium. Its description in RNAcentral is "bacterial SSU rRNA". It matches the Rfam family "Bacterial small subunit ribosomal RNA", at positions 27 to 1394 of the family's 1533-position model. The record is from RNAcentral.
GGACGAACGCUGGCGGCGUGCUUAACACAUGCAAGUCGAACGAAGUGGAAGCUUGCUUCUAUUAGUGGCGAACGGGUGAGUAACGCGUAAUCAACCUGCCCUUCAGAGGGGGACAACAGUUGGAAACGACUGCUAAUACCGCAUUCGAUCUAAUCGGCAUCGAGAUAGAUGAAAGGUGGUAAUAUCACUGAAGGAGGGGAUUGCGUCUGAUUAGCUAGUUGGAGGGGUAACGGCCCACCAAGGCGAUGAUCAGUAGCCGGUCUGAGAGGAUGAACGGCCACAUUGGGACUGAGACACGGCCCAGACUCCUACGGGAGGCAGCAGUGGGGAAUCUUCCGCAAUGGACGAAAGUCUGACGGAGCAACGCCGCGUGAGUGAUGACGGCCUUCGGGUUGUAAAGCUCUGUUAAUCGGGACGAAAGGCCUUCUUGAAUUAGAAGGAUUGACGGUACCGGAAUAGAAAGCCACGGCUAACUACGUGCCAGCAGCCGCGGUAAUACGUAGUGGCAAGCGUUGUCCGGAAUUAUUGGGCGUAAAGCGCGCGCAGCGGAUAGGUCAGUCUGUCUUAAAAGUUCGGGGCUUAACCCCGUGAUGGGAUGGAAACUGCCAAUCUAGAGUAUCGGAGAGGAAAGUGGAAUUCCUAGUGUAGCGUGAAAUGCGUAGAUUUAGAAGAACACCAGUGGCGAAGCGACUUCUGGACGAAAACUGACGCUGAGGCGCGAAAGCCAGGGGAGCGAACGGGAUAGAUACCCCGGUAGUCCUGGCCGUAAACGAUGGGUACUAGGUGUAGGAGGUAUCGACCCUUCUGUGCCGGAGUUAACGCAAUAAGUACCCCGCUGGGGAGUACGACCGCAAGGUUGAAACUCAAAGGAAUUGACGGGGGCCCGCACAAGCGGUGGAGUAUGUGGUUUAAUUCGACGCAACGCGAAGAACCUUACCAGGUCUUGACAUUGAUGGACAGAACCAGAGAUGGUUCCUCUUCUUCGGAAGCCAGAAAACAGGUGGUGCACGGUUGUCGUCAGCUCGUGUCGUGAGAUGUUGGGUUAAGUCCCGCAACGAGCGCAACCCCUAUCUUAUGUUGCCAGCACGUAAAGGUGGGAACUCAUGAGAGACUGCCGCAGACAAUGCGGAGGAAGGCGGGGAUGACGUCAAAUCAUCAUGCCCCUUAUGACCUGGGCUACACACGUACUACAAUGGGAGUUAUAGACGGAAGCGAGAUCGCGAGAUGGAGCAAACCCGAGAAAACUCUCUCAGUUCGGAUCGUAGGCUGCAACUCGCCUACGUGAAGUCGGAAUCGCUAGUAAUCGCAGGUCAGCAUACUGCGGUGAAUACGUUCCCGGGCCUUGUACACACCGCC